UGAGUGGACGACAACUCGCUCCGUUC
RNAcentral lists this non-coding RNA (26 nucleotides) under Rattus norvegicus (Norway rat). Lineage: Eukaryota; Metazoa; Chordata; Mammalia; Rodentia; Muridae. The record is from RNAcentral.